GAUGAACGCUGACAGAAUGCUUAACACAUGCAAGUCAACUUGAAUUUGGGUUUUUAACUUAGGUUUGGGUGGCGGACGGGUGAGUAACGCGUAAAGAACUUGCCUCACAGCUAGGGACAACAUUUGGAAACGAAUGCUAAUACCUAAUAUUAUGAUAAUAGGGCAUCCUAUAAUUAUGAAAGCUAUAAGCGCUGUGAGAGAGCUUUGCGUCCCAUUAGCUAGUUGGAGAGGUAACGGCUCACCAAGGCGAUGAUGGGUAGCCGGCCUGAGAGGGUGAUCGGCCACAAGGGGACUGAGACACGGCCCUUACUCCUACGGGAGGCAGCAGUGGGGAAUAUUGGACAAUGGACCGAGAGUCUGAUCCAGCAAUUCUGUGUGCACGAUGAAGUUUUUCGGAAUGUAAAGUGCUUUCAGUUGGGAAGAAACGAAUGACGGUGCCAACAGAAGAAGUGACGGCUAAAUACGUG
RNAcentral lists this ribosomal RNA (467 nucleotides) under uncultured bacterium. Its description in RNAcentral is "partial 16S ribosomal RNA". It matches the Rfam family "Bacterial small subunit ribosomal RNA", at positions 28 to 507 of the family's 1533-position model. The record is from RNAcentral.